GAUCAUGACUCAGGACGAACGCUGGCGGCGUGCUUAACACAUGCAAGUCGAACGAAAAGACGGGAAGAGCUUGCUCUUUUCAGAAUUGAGUGGCAAACGGGUGAGUAACACGUAAACAACCUGCCUUCAGGAUGGGGACAACAGACGGAAACGACUGCUAAUACCGAAUAAGUUCCAAGGGCCGCAUGGCCCAUGGAAGAAAAGGUGGCCUCUACCUGUAAGCUAUCGCCUGAAGAGGGGUUUGCGU
This 247-nucleotide ribosomal RNA is filed under the name uncultured bacterium. Its description in RNAcentral is "partial 16S ribosomal RNA". It matches the Rfam family "Bacterial small subunit ribosomal RNA", at positions 15 to 236 of the family's 1533-position model. The record is from RNAcentral.